GAUACAGUAUUUUUGUCAUUGUAGUAAUCAAUACACUUACAUCACAUCGUUGCAGAGUGUUUUGUGUUUUUAUACAUCCUUAUUGUCUUUUGGUGGAUAUGUUUCUAUGCGCCUAGAAGCAAUUAUUAAUAGAAACAUUAUCAAGCCUAGAAAAUGUAUUUUAUCUUUAUAAUGGUGGUCAUUUUCUAAAAGAUCAUUUUAGGGCAAGCUACAAAAUCUUGUCCUGGAAUAAGUGACCUUUAAAAAGAUUUGGUCGUAGGAUACACUCUGAUUGUUUUUUGUAUUGGAAGCAGAUUGUUAGCUCCGCCUGGAGUCUCAUUCCAAAAUAUAUCGACCUGAAAAAAUACAAAGUGUCAUUUCAUCAAUCUUGUCCAUCUUGUGUUCUUCCUCCUCUUGCAGGAAUCUACAGAAGUAUGUCUACGAGGAGGCUCAGAAGAGGAUGGUGUUGUCACGGCAACAGAAGUUCAACGAGAAGCACUGUAUCUGUUGUUUCUCAUCGUUCGGGUUCAUCUUAAAUAGGAAGAUACAAUGUCAGGUGUGCCAGUUUUUUAUCUGCAAAAACUGCAGAGCUAAGUCGGAGAAAAAGGAGGACAUCUUAUGUAUUGCAUGUAUACAACAACAAGAACUUCAGGUACGAGCAUGUGAGUGGUUCUAUGCCCAGAUCAGAGCAAAAUUCAGACGAUUCGGCAGUGCCAAAGUUGUACGCUCUCUCUACAAGAGAGAUUCAGAAAGAGGUAGUGGUUCUGAAGAUGAAGAUAGCCACAACAGUGACUCUGGGUUAGGACGUCAGAGGAGCCCUGGUUCGUUAGGAUCUAGCUUUGAUCUCUCAGCUUUCAUGCAAGGCCCAAGAAGUGACCAGGAAACAAACACAGCUGAUGUGUCUUCUAUCCUCGCACAUGGCUCCCCUGAUUACCAAGACUGGCUGGAUCUUCUAAGACCUCCUAUGUCUUCUGUAGCUGUUCAAGCACCUCAUGAUAGACUAGAUGAAGAUUAUUCUAUGGAAGAUUUAAUACAUCCAUCUAAUGCUACAGAAGCGAGAUGUAGUAUACCUGAUAGAUGCACCUGCAGGAGUGGGAAUGGCAGCCCCAGUCUGAUUGUUUAUGAUCCCAAAGGUGACAAGGUCUGUAAAGAGAAAGAGGUCCCACCUCCAGUGGCCAAUGGGCGAGGAGGGGAUGCAAUGCUCUUUCACAUCCUCUCACCCAUCGAGGAGAUGACUUCACCAGAGUGCUCAGACAGGAGCGAAGCAGGAAGCAAGCCAGGGAGCCCUGCGGUCGUCAGUGACUCCCCUCCUCUAGAUACUACUAAGAUGGGUCAGGAUGCAGCUUGUUGUCAUGGUGAUGAUACUAGCAGGGAUUGCACUUUAGUAAAGGAGGGCGAUGAAGAACCUGAUGCAGGUGGUAGUCAUGGCAAUAAUGAAGAUGAGCAAGAGGAGGAGGAGAGUCUCAUAUCCCCGAGGGAGCUUGACUCUGGAAUUCAUCUUGCUUUUUCAAAUUCUAUGGAUAGUGACAUGAAUGGUCCUUGUCCUGAUGCCAUUGAAGCUGAUAAGAUGCUGUCACAGAGACUCAAGAUGCAGAAUAUAGGAUGUUCAGAGUCCUUUGAGAGUGUUUCCAGCACCAGCUUGAGUCUACCCAGCCUAGAUGCCAAUGAUACCCUAGAUAGUCUAGAGACACAUAUCCACUCCUCUCAUAGUGACUUACAUUCACCACCACCUGACAUCCAUGAUGACUUUGAUUCAACAAACAGCACGUUGACGGGCAAAGUGGAGAACACUGAGGAUGAAUGGAAAGUGAGCGAGGCAGAGAAGACCAAUUUGAGCCGUAGCUCCAGUGAAGAUACCUUGAAGAGUGAUGAUGAUGAAGAAGAGGGGUUAGGACCCAGGGAACUAUCAAUGGAAGAGUUCUUGGAUCAAAUCCAAACCAGGUCAUCUUCCAUGACAGAGGAGGAAGGAUCAAAGUAUGAGGAUGAGGAGCAGGAUCCUUCAAGCAAGAGCUUCCAAGAUGGAGAAGGAGGUUGUGCCUCCAGAGAAGAAGAGUCAGAAAACAGGGACCAUGUAUCAUUAAACCUUGAGUUUCAUCCGCGUUCAUUCUACAAACGCUCCAGAUCCAGUGAUGACUUCCGUACCAUGCGAGAUGAGGAUCAGAAUGAUGAUCCAGGAAGCAACAGUGAUGGUGAGGACACAAAAGCAAAGUCAAAAGGCAAGCAUCAUAGAAAUGGCAAAUUAACCUCAAACCGUUUCAUCCGCUACGAUUCGCUCCCUCUGGUCGUUGAGGUCUAUGAAGCAGACAGCAAUAGUCCGUCCUUCUCACCUAACGAUGUAAGCAGAUCUCGCUUUGUCUAUGAUAGCCAAGAUAGCGAGUCUCCUAACAGAGGUUCACCCAAACGUCAAAUGUUCAGUCCAAGCAAGUCAGGGAAGCAUAAUCAACCAAAGAAGAAUAGUCGUCAGAUGUCCGUUGAGUCAACAACAACGGAGAGUACUCUGCCAAAAAGCACACCCAUUUCCUCAGGCCCCACAACACCUGACUUUGAGUGCAAACGUAAGAACAGCCUUUCAACGGUGUCAUCCGAGUCAGAGUGCUCUACAGAUUCACUCAAAAGAGAUAAAAUCCUGUUCACCCGCCAGCUGGUUCAACAACAUAAGGAAUAUCAUCAGUCAGAAGGGAUAAGACCUAGCACAAGUCACAAGAUGCGAAGCCUCAGCCACAGUGAUGCUGAUCCAGCACCCUACAGACACAGAGGGGGGACGUCCAGCAAUGGACAGCUUCAGAGGCAAAUGUCUCUUCCAAGGCAGAGCAGCUUGCAUGAUGAUGAAGAAGAAAUCCUGGCAGGAUACAGGAGACUAAAACAACAUGAAAAGACAUCUCAGGGCGUGGCUGAAGCUGAAAAGGAUGUAAGAGAGCAAGAGAGAUUUGAAGACGAGGAAGAAGAGAGAGAUGACAGCUGUGGUUUCUCUAACAGUGAUGAGAUCACUGGUCUCUUGUCUGAACAAGAUAUCUUUGACAGUAGUGACAAUGAGGAGGAUGAGUUUGAGGAUGCAAGCAGUACCCUGACUGAUGACAUUAAUGGCAAUGAAGACAGCAAUCACAAUGAAGACAUUGCCAGUAUUCGGGAUACAGAUGGAGCAAGCAAAGCGUCUUCCCAAGAAGAGCAACACUUAGAGGAAAGCCUAUCAGAAAGCUUCCAUGCAUGCUUUGAGAAUCAGUGUUCUCCGUCAUGUCAGGACUCUGAGGAAGUGAAUGACGCUCCUGCAGACACCUUUGAUGCAAGUAGCUUUAAGGAUGAUAUCACUGCACUUCAAGAAGAUGGCGCUCAUCUUGAUAGUCAGAAUUUGAAUGCCUCAUUCCACAAUGACGAAGUAUGCAAUGACAACGAGACAAAGCAAGAGGAUGAAAGUGACAAUAUCAAUAGUAUCUCUCUUCAAGAAUCAUCUGGGAUUGAUGGAGCUGAAGCUGAUGCAGUGAGUGAUGAGAAUGAUGAGGAGGAGGGUGGUGAAGGGAAAGAGGAGAUGUCCUCAAGGAUGUUAAAAAGGAAGGAAGAAGCUGACCUUGCAAACCUGACCUACAAGCUGGCUAUCAAGCAGGGUGAGGUACUUCAGUCAGCUGAAGAGGUGCUUUCAUCAGCAAAUCAGAUGUCCAACAUCCAGCAUGAAGUAGAUGCUCUUGAUUGCAUCCUGACUUCACUGGAAAGGAAGGUUGCUAAAGGAGUACUUUCCAGUCAGACCAGCAGUGAAUAUGAAGAUUCUGAAGGAGGAGACUUGGAUGUCAGUCCACAGGAGCUUGUGAAGGAGGACCUCUGUGACCUAGAAGUACAACUUUCUCAAACAGACGAUGAUAAUCCAGGCUCACAGAUCAAUAUGGCGACAGCUGUGCGUAUGAUCACUGCUACAGCCCUAAAGGUUCUCAAUACCACCGAAGCAGCGAUAGAGCUGCAACAAGAUGAUGCUGUUCUACAUGCUCCACUCAGGGACAACAUCAUCUUUGAUCAGGAAGACAAGGAGGUGGAGGAGGAGGAGGAAGAAGGAGAAGAGGAUUAUGAUGAUGAGUAUGAAGGGGAGGAGGAAGGAGACAGUAACAGUGACUUGAAUAUUUUCUCAGAUCUGUGUGAUGACCUCUUUUUUGAGAGUGACUCUGUUGAGGAUGGUUACCUGCUGAGAUCAGUAGCUGAUGUAUUGAUCGAUAAUGACAACAAUGUCUUCCAUUGUGGACUAGAACCAUGUGAUGAUGUUGAUGGUGAACUUAGCGUAGAGAAGGAUCGGAAUGCCAAUGCUGUGCGUUUGUCACCACAGAAAAGACUUUGUGACGGUAGGUGUGGGAGUGAAUUAUGCCGAAUGUCUGCAGCUCUUGGCAAAACUGCAGGAAGCAAAUCCCAGGCAUCGGAGAGAAACAGGCCUCAAGAUGAUGCCCAACACAGGAGUGUGUCCCAACACCCUGGUGAAAGGGAUACUGGCAAAGACUUUAGGGAAAGGAAGGGAGUACUAAAGGAUUCACUCAAACUCACUCUUCCCAGUACAAAGCCCCAGGAGGUGGAGAAGAGGAAACAGACUGCCGGAGGUGAUAAGAGUGCCACGCCCAGCUCGGCAUCCUCCAAGUCCAAGUCUCCAGAGGCUACUAUAUCUCCAGGAUCCCGACACUCCUCGAGUCCCUCCUCAGGUCCAAUCCUGCAUCUCACCUCUGGACCCACAUCCCCACCGACGGCAACCCUUCUUUUCUCAUCCGAUGAGUUGGUCUGGGAUUCUGCAGUCCCUGUGAGCAGCUCAGACUCAGAGUCAAUGCCACCUACAGAGAUGGUUCCUGAUGAAGGAAAAAACCCAAGAGAUGCUGCCAGAGUGGAAAUUUUAGAUUUCACACCUAGUCCUUCCAAGAGGCACAAAUCUGAGGUGUCUGUCUUUGAGAGUUCCUUCACCCCUACAAAUGGAGACAGUGACUUUAGCCCGGACUUCCUCUCGGCAUUUUACGAUCGUGUCUCAGAACUUGAAGAGAGGGUGUACCUAUCAGCAGGGAAGGUCUUCACCCUUGAGGAGCGAUUAGAGCAGCUUGAGAUGGAGGUCAACUCUGUAGACUGUACCCUUCCAGAUGACAUCAUGGCCAUUCUAGAGGAUAAGGUGGCCCUGACGGUAGCUCAGGUCCAGCAGUGUGAGAGAGAGGUGCACACGGUAGAGGACAACAUCUCCGGCCUAGACCACACCCAAGAUGGCAUCUUCUCUACCAUGUACAGUGUAGAUCACAUCCCCACCACGCCCAGGAAACUAGAGAACAUCUCAUCGGCUUCAUUCCUUCUCAAUCACCCUGCCUUAAAGCUGAAUCCUUUGAAUGACUUUAGCUUGGUGCAAAUUGAGAUUCCUGGAAACAGAAGGAGACUGAACUCAUCGGCCUCUGAUGGAGACAUCGUUGCUUCCCCUCUCUCCUCUCCAGGCCCAUUAGACGAGACUGAUGGGGGCGCUCUAACAGAUAUGGACGACGGAGUUGUAGUCUACACGUGGGGCAAUAUAAAAGUUACUGAUAUAUUGUCGGUCAAAGAAGAGGCGUAGAGGCUCGCUUGCUCAAACUCUGUUUAAUUUGCAGCUUUAUAUGAUUUUGAAAAAUGAAAUUGAUGAUGAGAUACAUGGUCAUGGAGGCCCUCUAGAGAUGAUGGAUGAAACGAGUUCACAAGCAGUUGAAGUCACCCACUAAGUAGAUGUCAACAAACUUUCAAGUAGACAUGUCAACGAACUAUUUAACCCACCUGAAUUUUUACCCAAGCUAUGCGGAAAGCAUGUCACUGCUGUAGAUGAAGGAUUUAGACGAUCCUGUUGAUCAGAUUUUUAUGAACAUUUGUUGUUUGGUUCAGAUGUGUGUCAGCUGCAUUAAAUGCAAUUGUUUUUUAUUACUAUGUGCAAAUGAG
This is an RNA transcript of Strongylocentrotus purpuratus (purple sea urchin), 5877 nucleotides long. RefSeq lists it as uncharacterized. Lineage: Eukaryota; Metazoa; Echinodermata; Echinoidea; Camarodonta; Strongylocentrotidae. The record is from RefSeq and is a predicted model, not a curated record. The transcript has 17 exons.